This 347-nucleotide ribosomal RNA is filed under the name uncultured fungus. RNAcentral's name for it is "SSU rRNA". It matches the Rfam family "Eukaryotic small subunit ribosomal RNA", at positions 20 to 370 of the family's 1831-position model. Lineage: Eukaryota; Fungi. The record is from RNAcentral.
GUAGUCAUAUGCUUGUCUCAAAGAUUAAGCCAUGCAUGUCUAAGUAUAAGCAAUUUAUACGGUGAAACUGCGAAUGGCUCAUUAAAUCAGUUAUAGUUUAUUUGAUAGUACCUUACUACAUGGAUACCUGUGGUAAUUCUAGAGCUAAUACAUGCUUAAAACUCCGACUUCGGAAGGAGUGUAUUUAUUAGAUAAAAAACCAAUGUCCUCCGGGGCUCCUUGGUGAAUCAUGAUAACUUCUCGAAUCGCAUGGCCUUGCGCUGGCGAUGGUUCAUUCAAAUUUCUGCCCUAUCAACUUUCGAUGGUAGGAUAGUGGCCUACCAUGGUGGCAACGGGUAACGGGGAAU